RNAcentral lists this ribosomal RNA (931 nucleotides) under uncultured Methanosaeta sp. RNAcentral's name for it is "bacterial SSU rRNA". It matches the Rfam family "Archaeal small subunit ribosomal RNA", at positions 1 to 922 of the family's 1478-position model. The record is from RNAcentral. Lineage: Archaea; Methanobacteriati; Methanobacteriota; Methanomicrobia; Methanotrichales; Methanotrichaceae.
GGAUCCUCUAGAGAUUUUCCGGUUGAUCCUGCCGGAGGUUACUGCUAUCGAGGUUCGACUAAGCCAUGCGAGUCGAAUGUAGCAAUACAUGGCGAACUGCUCAGUAACACGUGGACAACCUGCCCUUAGGUUGGGUAUAAACCCGGGAAACUGGGUAUAAUACCCGAUAGGUCUCGAUUGCUGGAAUGCAUCGAGAUUUAAAGCUCCGGCGCCUAAGGAUGGGUCUGCGGCCUAUCAGGUAGUAGUGGGUGUAGCGUACCUACUAGCCUACGACGGGUACGGGUUGUGAGAGCAAGAGCCCGGAGAUGGAUUCUGAGACACGAAUCCAGGCCCUACGGGGUGCAGCAGGCGCGAAAACUUUACAAUGCUGGCAACAGCGAUAAGGGAACCUCGAGUGCCAGGUUACAAAUCUGGCUGUCGAGAUGCCUAAAAAGCAUUUCAUAGCAAGGGCCGGGCAAGACCGGUGCCAGCCGCCGCGGUAACACCGGCGGCUCGAGUGGUAACCGUUAUUAUUGGGUCUAAAGGGUCUGUAGCCGGCCGGAUAAGUCUCUUGAGAAAUCUGGCAGCUUAACUGUCAGGCUUUCAGGAGAUACUGUCUGGCUCGAGGCCGGGAGAGGUGAGAGGUACUUCAGGGGUAGGGGUGAAAUCUUGUAAUCCUUGAAGGACCACCAGUGGCGAAGGCGUCUCACCAGAACGGACCUGACGGCAAGGGACGAAAGCUAGGGGCACGAACCGGAUUAGAUACCCGGGUAGUCCUAGCCGUAAACGAUACUCGCUAGGUGUCGGCCACGGUGCGACCGUUGUCGGUGCCGUAGGGAAGCCGUGAAGCGAGCCACCUGGGAAGUACGGCCGCAAGGCUGAAACUUAAAGGAAUUGGCGGGGGAGCACCACAACGGGUGGAGCUUGCGGUUUAAUUGGAUUCAACGCCGGA